UGAACGCUGGCGGCGUGCUUAACACAUGCAAGUUGAGCGGUAAGGCCCCUUCGGGGGUACACGAGCAGCGAACGGGUGAGUAACGCGUGGGUAAUCUACCCAUGAGGUGGAGGAUAGCCUCGGGAAACCGGGGGUAAUACUGCAUACGUCCCGACUGACAUAAGUCUAACGGGGGAAAGGCGGGGAUCUUCGGACCUGUCGCCUCUGGAUGAGCCCGCGUCCGAUUAGCUUGUUGGUGAGGUAAUGGCUCACCAAGGCAUCGAUCGGUAGCCGGCCUGAGAGGGUGAACGGCCACAUUGGGACUGAGACACGGCCCAGACUCCUACGGGAGGCAGCAGUGGGGAAUUUUGGGCAAUGGGGGAAACCCUGACCCAGCGACGCCGCGUGGAGGAUGAAGGCCUUCGGGUUGUAAACUCCUGUCAGGUGGGAAGAAGAGUCCUACGGAUAAUACCCGUAGGAAAUUGACGGUACCACCAAAGGAAGCCCCGGCUAACUCC
Molecule: ribosomal RNA, 497 nt
Filed under: uncultured bacterium
Lineage: Bacteria
Description: bacterial SSU rRNA
Rfam family: Bacterial small subunit ribosomal RNA
Source: RNAcentral